Non-coding RNA from Vicia faba (fava bean), 300 nucleotides. The record is from the annotation of a GenBank genome assembly. NCBI's taxonomy places the organism in Eukaryota, Viridiplantae, Streptophyta, Magnoliopsida, Fabales, Fabaceae.
AUGUAUAUGAUAACACAAGCAAGAACAAACUGGAACCAUAGAAAGAAUAAAGUAUCUAUGUACACAGUGAAGUUGAAUACGAGUAGUGUAACCUUUCUCCUUUUUCCCUCCAAUUUCUCUUUCCCUAGCAAUACUUACAACUUAACACAGGACUAUCCAGCGACAAAAAAGACCAUGUCAGUAUCAACACCCAGAAACUUCUCUUCUACACUAUAUCAUGAUCCCAACAAUUUCAUCUUCAUUCUAACAAAGUUCAUGUCCUUAUCAUCUGUGGCUUCAACAACCAGAGAUGAAAAAUAG